AUCCCGAAACCUGAUUUAAAAGAAAAAGAAAAAGAAAGAAAGAGGAUUUGAGAAAGAGAGAGACUUUCAAGGUAUUCAAGACAGACUUUGAGAGCAACCUUCCAGACGCUCAAGAAGAGAAAGAUAGAGACAAACAUCAUCCAGAUAGCUAUUUUUUAGGAUUGGAUUGAAGAUUCAAAGGAAAGAAGAAGGAGAUCUUGAACCGUAG
RNAcentral lists this long non-coding RNA (208 nucleotides) under Ricinus communis (castor bean). RNAcentral's name for it is "long non-coding RNA (RCOM_LNC001609)". The record is from RNAcentral. Lineage: Eukaryota; Viridiplantae; Streptophyta; Magnoliopsida; Malpighiales; Euphorbiaceae.